AGGGGAGUGAAAUAGAACCUGAAACCGUGUGCCUACAACCGCUCAGAGCCCCUUAUGAGGGUGAUGAGGUGCUUUUUGUAGAACGAGCCAACGAGUUACGGUAUGUAGCAAGGUUAAGUACUUAAGGUACGGAGCCGAAGGGAAACCGAGUCUGAAUAGGGCGACUAGUUGCAUGCCGUAGACCCGAAACCGGGUGACCUAUCCAUGGCCAGGUUGAAGCGAGGGUAAAACCUCGUGGAGGACCGAACCACGUUGCUGUUGAAAAAGCAUGGGAUGAGCUGUGGAUAGCGGAGAAAUUCCAAUCGAACCCGGAGAUAGCUGGUUCUCUCCGAAAUAGCUUUAGGGCUAGCGUCGAGUAUGAGUAGUGGAGGUAGAGCACUGAAUGGGCUAGGGGGCAUAGCGCUUACCGAACCUUAUCAAACUCCGAAUGCCACAUACUUUGAGCUCGGCAGUCAGACUACGAAUGAUAAGAUCCGUGGUCAAAAGGGAAACAGCCCAGAUCGUCAGCUAAGGUCCCAAAGUGUAAGUUAAGUGGGAAAGGAUGUGAGAUUUCUAAGACAACUAGGAUGUUGGCUUAGAAGCAGCCAUUCAUUAAAAGAGUGCGUAAUAGCUCACUAGUCGAGAGAUCUUGCGCCGAAAAUGUAACGGGGCUAAACUUACC
Molecule: ribosomal RNA, 661 nt
Filed under: Clostridium perfringens
Lineage: Bacteria; Bacillati; Bacillota; Clostridia; Eubacteriales; Clostridiaceae
Description: partial 23S ribosomal RNA
Rfam family: Bacterial large subunit ribosomal RNA
Source: RNAcentral